RNAcentral lists this ribosomal RNA (327 nucleotides) under Sinorhizobium medicae. Its description in RNAcentral is "bacterial SSU rRNA". It matches the Rfam family "Bacterial small subunit ribosomal RNA", at positions 10 to 367 of the family's 1533-position model. Lineage: Bacteria; Pseudomonadati; Pseudomonadota; Alphaproteobacteria; Hyphomicrobiales; Rhizobiaceae. The record is from RNAcentral.
AGUUUGAUCCUGGCUCAGAACGAACGCUGGCGGCAGGCUUAACACAUGCAAGUCGAGCGCCCCGCAAGGGGAGCGGCAGACGGGUGAGUAACGCGUGGGAAUCUACCCUUUUCUACGGAAUAACGCAGGGAAACUUGUGCUAAUACCGUAUAAGCCCUUCGGGGGAAAGAUUUAUCGGGAAAGGAUGAGCCCGCGUUGGAUUAGCUAGUUGGUGGGGUAAAGGCCUACCAAGGCGACGAUCCAUAGCUGGUYUGAGAGGAUGAUCAGCCACAUUGGGACUGAGACACGGCCCAAACUCCUACGGGAGGCAGCAGUGGGGAAUAUUGG